Molecule: long non-coding RNA, 2598 nt
Filed under: Olea europaea (common olive)
Lineage: Eukaryota; Viridiplantae; Streptophyta; Magnoliopsida; Lamiales; Oleaceae
Description: long non-coding RNA (OEUR_LNC001325)
Source: RNAcentral
UUGAGAUUACAGCGGUGGUCCUUCCAAGCUGACCUGAACAUCCGAUCUGGGAAGCUGGCAUAGAGUGGCUUAGGUUCAACUUUAAAUGAGUUCGGAGAUUGGUACAAACAAGCCCCUAUUUGCCGUGACUUAAAAAUUUGAUAAAAAUUAAAGUUAAAGUUAACAAUUAAUUUUAGUCGCACAUUUCAUAAGACUCACAAUUUUUAUGAACUUUUCAACCUUAUAUUUCAUCAACUUAUGUCAAAAUGUACUAAAAAUCUGAUUUUUAGCUAUACCAAACAUGGGCUUAGUUGAAUGCAAGAUUGCCAAACUCCUCGCUUGUAUUUUUUAAUUGAGCCAAUAUUAAUUUUGUUUGUUGCUGGAAAUUUAUAUCUUGAGGCAAUAAUGAUGUUUAGCCAACUGAGCACUAGGAUGACUGGCAUGCAUAAGGACCUAUAAGAUUGUGCAUCAUCUUGAACCAUAAUCAAUAUUAAAGUUGAUAACCAAGUGCACCUUGAGAUUAUACAAACAAUUUUUUCUUGAUUAUGAGCUUUCCUUUUCAGAUGGAGCCGGAAGUGGUGGAAGUGGAGCUAGUGUUGCCCACUCACAUGAAAUUUAAAAAGAUUCAGAUGUAUGAGAAGUACCCUAAGGGACAGGAUAGAGUGAGGUGGAACCAUCUCAAGCAGAUCAUUCAAGCCGAGAAUUACCAAAAUUAUCCACCCAAUGAACCAAAUUGUAAGUUCCAGCUUAAAUGUGUGACGUGCAAUUUUAUUUGUUGGUAUUUAGUUAGAAGGAUGGAUUGCACGAAGAUGUUACAACAGUGAGUAGUUAUCUGCAAAAGUUCUAGUUUAUGGAACCAAAUCAGUAGCAUUGAACUGAAUAAAUCAAAUUGUUGGCCGAGUGGAGAGAUGUAAAAACAGUGGAGUUACUAAAUAUUACUUCUCUUCUUAAUAGAUUAUGAUAAAAGUUUAUGAAAUUAUGGUGGAAAAGUUGAUAAAAGUUACCAGUCUCAUAAAUUUGUGUUUGAAAAUGAAUUUGGGAAAAAAUGAGUUCUAAAAAACGGGGCUAAACAAGGGCUUAAUGCUAUAACUAUAUCCAAUAAUAAGUGUAAAUUGUGUAGUUAUCUAUUAUUUAAAAUACAUAUACUUUUUUUGAGAACUGUUAAUUAAUAAAUAUUACUUUUUUUAAUAAGUUAUUGGUAAUAACAAUAGUUAUCUAUCAUGUAAACACUUUGUUAUCGAUUGUGAAGAAUAAUAUAAUAAGUUUUAAAAGAAAUUAAAACCAAUAAAAUUCUUCUUCUUCACGUGUCCUAAGAUGUCCAAUACAUAUUGAAAAUUUUAAAAAUAUAAAAAUAUAAAAUAACUAAAAAAAACCUAUCCGGUAUGUAUUUGAGAGUUUCCAAGCAUAUCCAAACUUGAAUACAUGAUAGAUAUGACACAUAUGAGUAUACAACAAGUUUACAAGUAUCCAUGCUUCUUAGACAUUCAAUACUGCUUGGCUUUUUUCUUAAAAUUCUACUUGUUUUAACUUAAUUAUUUAUGGCAUAUACCCUCCCAUUGCUUUUAUUUGCAGAUGUCAACAUUGAUUCACCUCCAUCUAUGCAGCCAUGCAAAAGAAUUUGUGAUAUAACCGGAUUCAAGGUAUUUUUCAUUUUAACUAUAUGUUCACUAUUGACUUUUCUCCAAAUUUAAACACAAGGAGAUGGUGUAAUGUAACCGUCGUCAUGUUGGUGUAUUUCUUGACAUGUUCUGAAGGGAAAUUUACUAAAUAAUAUUGGGUGUAUUUACAAAUUGUGUUUUCAAUAAUUACAAUUUACACACAUUGACUAACAUAAAAAUUAAUAGAACCUGUAAAAUGACUAAAAGACUCCUAAAAAUAUUAAAAUUCAAUUAUCAUUGUUUCUCCAGAGAUAUUUUAGAAACACCAAAUUCGAUUCUUCCCUUCAUUUCUUAACAUAUGGACCCAUUGGGUUUGGUUUUUCCUGAAUCAAGCAUGUUUAUCUUAUUUUUUGUUUUUGCUUUUAAACAUAUACACGGAUUAAUUUGUUCUGGUAACUGUACUUUGACUCAAUUGUGAAUAGGGUUACUGUACUUCAUCAUUUCACUUUAUUUUGGUACAACUCUCCUUCCCAUUCACUAACGGUUGUUGAUGUUCUAUGUUGUUUAAGUUAUUGCCGUUAUGCUAUGUAACAUCCUAACUGAUCAUCUUGCCUUGAAGUUGUGUCAUGAAUUUGGUUUGCAGGGUGUUGGCCAGUUGUGGUGUUGCUUAGUUUGGACACACUAUUAGUUCAAAGAAAGGAUAUACUUGUGGAUUUGUUAAACUGCUGUUUAGUUUAUGUCAUGCAACAUCCAGCCCUUUGUCCUCGAGCAAACUCAAGGGUCCAGACUUUGUGAUAGGAUAAGAAAUCAUGUAAUUGGAUUUAACCUUUGGAGAGCUUGCUACUCUCAGAUUGUAUGCAUUAUCUCUUUGUCCUCGUACGAUUAUUUUCUAUAUUCUGAUCAUAUGUGGCACUGAUUUUGAUGAACAAAUGCAUUACGCUUGAAUAGCAUAGUUUCUGAAUUCCAUUGCUGAAAUACCGCUUCGCGAAGCUCUCUAUCUGGCAAUUAAGUUUAUAGGCAC